GUCAGUGUAGUUUAGUGGUAGAAUACGUGUCAAUUUGUCCGACACGAGACUCAGGUUCGAUCCCUGGCGCUGGCC
This is a non-coding RNA of Clohesyomyces aquaticus, 75 nucleotides long. The record is from the annotation of a GenBank genome assembly. Lineage: Eukaryota; Fungi; Ascomycota; Dothideomycetes; Pleosporales; Lindgomycetaceae.